Molecule: ribosomal RNA, 371 nt
Filed under: uncultured bacterium
Lineage: Bacteria
Description: bacterial SSU rRNA
Rfam family: Bacterial small subunit ribosomal RNA
Source: RNAcentral
GUAGGGUGCGAGCGUUAAUCGGAAUUACUGGGCGUAAAGUGUGCGCAGGCGGCCGAGCAAGUCGAGUGUGAAAGCCCCGGGCUUAACUUGGGAAUUGCGCUCGAAACUACUUGGCUGGAGUGUGGCAGAGGAAGGUGGAAUUCCACGUGUAGCGGUGAAAUGCGUAGAGAUGUGGAGGAACACCAAUGGCGAAGGCAGCCUUCUGGGCCAACACUGACGCUCAUGCGCGAAAGCGUGGGGAGCAAACAGGAUUAGAUACCCUGGUAGUCCACGCCCUAAACGAUGACGACUAGUUGUUGGAGGAGUUAAAUCCUUUAGUAACGCAGCUAACGCGCGAAGUCGUCCGCCUGGGGAGUACGGUCGCAAGAUUA